This 533-nucleotide ribosomal RNA is filed under the name uncultured fungus. RNAcentral describes it as "SSU rRNA". It matches the Rfam family "Eukaryotic small subunit ribosomal RNA", at positions 300 to 837 of the family's 1831-position model. The record is from RNAcentral. Lineage: Eukaryota; Fungi.
CAAAUUUCUGCCCUAUCAACUUUCGAUGGUAGAGUAGUGGUCUACCAUGGUUUCAACGGGUAACGGGGAAUUAGGGUUCUAUUCCGGAGAGGGAGCCUGAGAAACGGCUACCACAUCCAAGGAAGGCAGCAGGCGCGCAAAUUACCCAAUCCCGACACGGGGAGGUAGUGACAAUAAAUACUGAUACAGGGCUCUUCUGGGUCUUGUAAUUGGAAUGAGUACAAUUUAAAUCCCUUAACGAGGAACAAUUGGAGGGCAAGUCUGGUGCCAGCAGCCGCGGUAAUUCCAGCUCCAAUAGCGUAUAUUAAAGUUGUUGCAGUUAAAAAGCUCGUAGUUGAACCUUGGGCCUGGCUGGCCGGUCCGCCUCACCGCGUGCAACUGGUCCGGCCGGGCCUUUCCUUCUGGGGAGCCGCAUGCCCUUCACUGGGUGUGUCGGGGAAACCAGGACUUUUACUUUGAAAAAAUUAGAGUGUUCAAAGCAGGCCUAUGCUCGAAUACAUUAGCAUGGAAUAAUAGAAUAGGACGUGUGGUUC